CCUACGGGAGGCAGCAGUGAGGAAUAUUGGUCAAUGGGCGAGAGCCUGAACCAGCCAAGUCGCGUGAGGGAGUACUGCCCUAUGGGUUGUAAACCUCUUUUGUCGGGGAGCAAAAGCCGGACGUGUCCGGCUGUGAGAGUACCCGAAGAAAAAGCAUCGGCUAACUCCGUGCCAGCAGCCGCGGUAAUACGGAGGAUGCGAGCGUUAUCCGGAUUUAUUGGGUUUAAAGGGUGCGCAGGGGGAUUUUUAAGGCAGCGGUAAAAUCGUGGGGCUCAACCCCAUCCAGCCGUUGAAACUGGGGAUCUAGAGUGUGCGAGAGGUAUGCGGAAUGCGUGGUGUAGCGGUGAAAUGCAUAGAUAUCACGCAGAACCCCGAUUGCGAAGGCAGCAUACCGGUGCACAACUGACGCUCAGGCACGAAAGCGUGGGUAUCGAACAGGAUUAGAUACCCCGGUAGUC
RNAcentral lists this ribosomal RNA (458 nucleotides) under uncultured bacterium. RNAcentral describes it as "partial 16S ribosomal RNA". It matches the Rfam family "Bacterial small subunit ribosomal RNA", at positions 338 to 795 of the family's 1533-position model. The record is from RNAcentral.